This 402-nucleotide ribosomal RNA is filed under the name uncultured Acetobacteraceae bacterium. RNAcentral's name for it is "partial 16S ribosomal RNA". It matches the Rfam family "Bacterial small subunit ribosomal RNA", at positions 355 to 774 of the family's 1533-position model. Lineage: Bacteria; Pseudomonadati; Pseudomonadota; Alphaproteobacteria; Acetobacterales; Acetobacteraceae. The record is from RNAcentral.
UGGGGAAUAUUGGACAAUGGGCGCAAGCCUGAUCCAGCAAUGCCGCGUGUGUGAAGAAGGUCUUCGGAUUGUAAAGCACUUUCGACGGGGACGAUGAUGACGGUACCCGUAGAAGAAGCCCCGGCUAACUUCGUGCCAGCAGCCGCGGUAAUACGAAGGGGGCUAGCGUUGCUCGGAAUGACUGGGCGUAAAGGGCGCGUAGGCGGAAUGUACAGUCAGACGUGAAAUUCCCGGGCUCAACCUGGGGGCUGCGUUUGAUACGUAUGUUCUUGAGUGUGAAAGAGGGUCGUGGAAUUCCCAGUGUAGAGGUGAAAUUCGUAGAUAUUGGGAAGAACACCGGUGGCGAAGGCGGCGACCUGGUUCAUUACUGACGCUGAGGCGCGAAAGCGUGGGGAGCAAACA